UUCACAAUUUACCUGGUUGUCUCAGUGUUGUUUGUGUCAUCCAUUUGUUGAAUUAUGAUUAGUUGUGUUGUAGUCUGUGA
This is a long non-coding RNA of Sinocyclocheilus anshuiensis, 80 nucleotides long. RefSeq lists it as uncharacterized. The record is from RefSeq and is a predicted model, not a curated record. Lineage: Eukaryota; Metazoa; Chordata; Actinopteri; Cypriniformes; Cyprinidae. The transcript is spliced from 3 exons.